Molecule: ribosomal RNA, 442 nt
Filed under: uncultured bacterium
Lineage: Bacteria
Description: partial 16S ribosomal RNA
Rfam family: Bacterial small subunit ribosomal RNA
Source: RNAcentral
CCUACGGGUGGCAGCAGUGGGGAAUAUUGGUCAAUGGGCGCAAGCCUGACCCAGCAACGCCGCGUGAAGGAAGACGGCUUUCGGGUUGUAAACUUCUUUUCAGCAGGAAGAGCAGCAGGCGAUACCUCUUGAAUAAGCCACGUCUAACUACGUGCCAGCCGCCGCCGUAAUACGUAGGUGGCAAGCGGUGUCCGGCUUUACUGGGUGUAAAGGGCGUGCAGCCGGGAAGACAAGUCAGAUGUGAAAUCCCGCGGCUCAACCGCGGAACUGCAUUUGAAACUGUUUUUCUUGAGUACCGGAGAGGUCAUCGGAAUUCCUUGUGUAGCGGUGAAAUGCGUAGAUAUAAGGAAGAACACCAGUGGCGAAGGCGGAUGACUGGACGGCAACUGACGGUGAGGCGCGAAAGCGUGGGGAGCAAACAGGAUUAGAUACCCUUGUAGUC